GGAAAAAGUAUUUGACCAUAUAUGGGCCAACUUCCGCUUUUAAUCUUUCUCCAAAUCCCCUCGCUGCUUGACUUGUAGGACACAGGCUUCGAUCCUUGGUUUGUUAUCGGGGAUCAGCUACAAACCAAUCCAUCUCCAUAUCCUCUUAUUGCUCAAUUUCAUGCCAUCAUGUUUCCGCAGGUCGCUUAACUUUUUGUUUUUUUUAUUGGAGACGCUGCUUCUUUUUUCUCUCGCUUUUGUUUUCCAUUAACAAAGUGAGAGCAAUGUCAUCAAUCAAUUCCGUUUUCCGUAGAAAUUCUUUGUCAACCUGGAUUAGAGCAAAUUUAAAAGUGAGGAGAAGCUCAUUUUGUACUGACAGUGUUGAUGGAUCCACUACUUCAAGAGUCAAGAUUUUCGAUCGUGAUCUCAAACGUAAACAGCGUGAUCGAGCAGCGUGGUUAACACGCUCAGAUGAUUCAUUUGUGAAUUCUGUGGCUGAGAAUCUUUUAGAUCGCCUAGAGGAUUGCAAAAAAUCAUUUCCCACAGCGUUAUGUCUCGGAGGCUCUCUAAAGGCGAUAAGGCAUUUGCUGCGUGGGCGUGGCGGUGUUGAAAAGCUCAUUAUGAUGGAUACUUCAAUUGAUAUGGUCAAAUUAUGUAAGGAUGCUGAGAAGGAUAUGCCUGACCAAAAUGUUGAAAUAUCUUUUGUCGUAGGUGAUGAAGAGUUUCUACCAGUGAAAGAAAGUUCAUUGGAUCUGGUCAUCAGCUGUUUAGGACUGCACUGGACAAAUGAUCUUCCUGGUGCCAUGAUACAGAGCAGAUUGGCGUUGAAGCCUGAUGGUCUCUUCUUAGCUGCCAUUCUUGGUGGAGAAACAUUAAAAGAAUUGAGGAUAGCAUGUACCGUUGCACAAAUGGAACGUGAAGGUGGCAUUAGUCCCCGUUUAUCUCCUCUGGCACAGGUACGAGAUGCAGGAAAUCUUUUGACAAGGGCAGGCUUCACUCUUCCAGGUGUUGAUGUAGAUGAAUAUACUGUCAAGUAUGAAAGUGCUUUGCAGUUAAUUGAACAUCUUCGUGCAAUGGGUGAAACUAAUGCUCUUGUGCAGAGGAACAAUAUUUUGAAUAAAGAGACUGCACUGGCAACAGCUGCUGUCUAUCAAUCAAUGUUUGGGGCUGAAGACGGUACUGUACCUGCGACAUUUCAGCCUGCUGGAAUGGGGAACUGUUGAAUCUCUUUCCCGUGUUCUGCUUUGAAUUUUCUGGUGGAGCACAUUGCAUAUGUGCCUUAAGGAAAACAUGUGAAGCUGACAUCUUGGUCAUGAGGUGAUCUUUAUGACAGGGUGGAAAGAACACUCAUCUCAACAGAAGGCUAAAAGGAGAGGAUCUGCCACGGUAUCAUUUGGAGACCUUCAGAAGCAAUUUGGAAAUGAAAAUUACUAGCUCAAACAAGUUUUAACUUUUGAAGUUUUUGCUGUUUUUGGUUCUUAGUAAAUGUUAUAUCCAGAUUUUAAAAAUUUGAUCGUUUAUGAGGAGUAAGAUGAUGUUAUCUCGAUCAUUGCAUAACUAGCAAUUAUAAGUUGGAGCACUGUACAAUAGCA
Molecule: RNA transcript, 1571 nt
Organism: Beta vulgaris subsp. vulgaris (sugar beet)
Lineage: Eukaryota; Viridiplantae; Streptophyta; Magnoliopsida; Caryophyllales; Amaranthaceae
Gene name: putative methyltransferase At1g22800, mitochondrial
Exons: 12
Source: RefSeq, a predicted model, not a curated record